CAGCCGCCGCGGUAAUACGUAGGUCCCGAGCGUUGUCCGGAUUUAUUGGGCGUAAAGGGAGCGCAGGCGGUUUAGUAAGUCUGAAGUUAAAGGCAUUGGCUCAACCAAUGUAUGCUUUGGAAACUGUUAGACUUGAGUGCAGAAGGGGAGAGUGGAAUUCCAUGUGUAGCGGUGAAAUGCGUAGAUACAUGGAGGAACACCGGUGGCGAAAGCGGCUCUCUGGUCUGUCACUGACGCUGAGGCUCGAAAGCGUGGGUAGCGACCAGGAUUAGAUACCCCAGUAGUCCCUGUCUCUUAUACA
Molecule: ribosomal RNA, 301 nt
Filed under: uncultured bacterium
Lineage: Bacteria
Description: partial 16S ribosomal RNA
Rfam family: Bacterial small subunit ribosomal RNA
Source: RNAcentral